RNAcentral lists this ribosomal RNA (468 nucleotides) under uncultured bacterium. Its description in RNAcentral is "partial 16S ribosomal RNA". It matches the Rfam family "Bacterial small subunit ribosomal RNA", at positions 28 to 507 of the family's 1533-position model. The record is from RNAcentral.
GACGAACGCUGGCGGCGUGCUUAACACAUGCAAGUCGAACGGAAAGGCCCUGCUUUUGUGGGGUGCUCGAGUGGUGAACGGGUGAGUAACACGUGAGUAACCUGCCCUUGACUUUGGGAUAACUUCAGGAAACUGGGGCUAAUACCGGAUAGGAGCUCCUGCUGCAUGGUGGGGGUUGGAAAGUUUCGGCGGUUGGGGAUGGACUCGCGGCUUAUCAGCUUGUUGGUGGGGUAGUGGCUUACCAAGGCUUUGACGGGUAGCCGGCCUGAGAGGGUGACCGGCCACAUUGGGACUGAGAUACGGCCCAGACUCCUACGGGAGGCAGCAGUGGGGAAUAUUGCACAAUGGGCGGAAGCCUGAUGCAGCAACGCCGCGUGCGGGAUGACGGCCUUCGGGUUGUAAACCGCUUUCGCCUGUGACGAGGCGUGAGUGACGGUAGUGGGUAAAGAAGCACCGGCUAACUACGUG